CAAGUUAAUAAACUAAAACUUUCAACAACGGAUCUCUUGGUUCUGGCAUCGAUGAAGAACGCAGCGAAAUGCGAUAAGUAAUGUGAAUUGCAGAAUUCAGUGAAUCAUCGAAUCUUUGAACGCACAUUGCGCCCCUUGGUAUUCCGGGGGGCAUGCCU
This 158-nucleotide ribosomal RNA is filed under the name Lasiodiplodia theobromae. Its description in RNAcentral is "5.8S ribosomal RNA". The stretch from base 17 to 158 matches the Rfam family "5.8S ribosomal RNA". Rfam says of the family: 5.8S ribosomal RNA (5.8S rRNA) is a component of the large subunit of the eukaryotic ribosome. It is transcribed by RNA polymerase I as part of the 45S precursor that also contains 18S and 28S rRNA. Lineage: Eukaryota; Fungi; Ascomycota; Dothideomycetes; Botryosphaeriales; Botryosphaeriaceae. RNAcentral also lists the same sequence under 1 other name. The record is from RNAcentral.